Molecule: ribosomal RNA, 1387 nt
Filed under: Homo sapiens (human)
Lineage: Eukaryota; Metazoa; Chordata; Mammalia; Primates; Hominidae
Description: Bacterial large subunit ribosomal RNA
Rfam family: Bacterial large subunit ribosomal RNA
Source: Rfam by way of RNAcentral
GUAUAGGCGAUAGAAAUUGAAACCUGGCGCAAUAGAUAUAGUACCGCAAGGGAAAGAUGAAAAAUUAUAACCAAGCAUAAUAUAGCAAGGACUAACCCCUAUACCUUCUGCAUAAUGAAUUAACUAGAAAUAACUUUGCAAGGAGAGCCAAAGCUAAGACCCCCGAAACCAGACGAGCUACCUAAGAACAGCUAAAAGAGCACACCCGUCUAUGUAGCAAAAUAGUGGGAAGAUUUAUAGGUAGAGGCGACAAACCUACCGAGCCUGGUGAUAGCUGGUUGUCCAAGAUAGAAUCUUAGUUCAACUUUAAAUUUGCCCACAGAACCCUCUAAAUCCCCUUGUAAAUUUAACUGUUAGUCCAAAGAGGAACAGCUCUUUGGACACUAGGAAAAAACCUUGUAGAGAGAGUAAAAAAUUUAACACCCAUAGUAGGCCUAAAAGCAGCCACCAAUUAAGAAAGCGUUCAAGCUCAACACCCACUACCUAAAAAAUCCCAAACAUAUAACUGAACUCCUCACACCCAAUUGGACCAAUCUAUCACCCUAUAGAAGAACUAAUGUUAGUAUAAGUAACAUGAAAACAUUCUCCUCCGCAUAAGCCUGCGUCAGAUUAAAACACUGAACUGACAAUUAACAGCCCAAUAUCUACAAUCAACCAACAAGUCAUUAUUACCCUCACUGUCAACCCAACACAGGCAUGCUCAUAAGGAAAGGUUAAAAAAAGUAAAAGGAACUCGGCAAAUCUUACCCCGCCUGUUUACCAAAAACAUCACCUCUAGCAUCACCAGUAUUAGAGGCACCGCCUGCCCAGUGACACAUGUUUAACGGCCGCGGUACCCUAACCGUGCAAAGGUAGCAUAAUCACUUGUUCCUUAAAUAGGGACCUGUAUGAAUGGCUCCACGAGGGUUCAGCUGUCUCUUACUUUUAACCAGUGAAAUUGACCUGCCCGUGAAGAGGCGGGCAUAACACAGCAAGACGAGAAGACCCUAUGGAGCUUUAAUUUAUUAAUGCAAACAGUACCUAACAAACCCACAGGUCCUAAACUACCAAACCUGCAUUAAAAAUUUCGGUUGGGGCGACCUCGGAGCAGAACCCAACCUCCGAGCAGUACAUGCUAAGACUUCACCAGUCAAAGCGAACUACUAUACUCAAUUGAUCCAAUAACUUGACCAACGGAACAAGUUACCCUAGGGAUAACAGCGCAAUCCUAUUCUAGAGUCCAUAUCAACAAUAGGGUUUACGACCUCGAUGUUGGAUCAGGACAUCCCGAUGGUGCAGCCGCUAUUAAAGGUUCGUUUGUUCAACGAUUAAAGUCCUACGUGAUCUGAGUUCAGACCGGAGUAAUCCAGGUCGGUUUCUAUCUACNUUCAAAUUCCUCCCUGUACGA